This 245-nucleotide unclassified non-coding RNA is filed under the name plant metagenome. RNAcentral's name for it is "partial contains small subunit ribosomal RNA, internal transcribed spacer 1, and 5.8S ribosomal RNA". The record is from RNAcentral.
UCUCCGUUGGUGAACCAGCGGAGGGAUCAUUACCGAGUUUACAACUCCCAAACCCAAUGUGAACCAUACCAAACUGUUGCCUCGGCGGGGUCACGCCCCGGGUGCGUCGCAGCCCCGGAACCAGGCGCCCGCCGGAGGGACCAACCAACCUCUUUCUGUAGUCCCCUCGCGGACGUUAUUUCUUACAGCUCUGAGCAAAAAUUCAAAAUGAAUCAAAACUUUCAACAACGGAUCUCUUGGUUCUG